Daphnia pulicaria is the source of this 296-nucleotide long non-coding RNA. RefSeq lists it as uncharacterized. Lineage: Eukaryota; Metazoa; Arthropoda; Branchiopoda; Diplostraca; Daphniidae. The transcript is spliced from 3 exons. The record is from RefSeq and is a predicted model, not a curated record.
CCUCUCUCAGAACUAGGCCAGGAAUCAGCUGCCAUUGUAGUUGAAAGUUUAGCUGAUGCUGUGACACAUGCAGGAUUUUUUGGAACUGAAAGUUGCAGUGAUGUUAUUCUAAUGAAAAUUUUACAUGUCUGGAGAAUGUUGGUUCUUCACCCUGCUGGGAUUCCGCUCUCUAAUGAAGGUGUUUGAUCAUGCAAAGCUGUUUCCGAAUCUGCUUUAAAACAGUCUGUUCUUAUUACUCUUAUGUCGUAGUUGCUUCGAUCCGAUUCCACCGCAAAACGGCUGAGUAUAUAAAUAUU